CCUUCGGGUUGUAAACCGCUUUCGCCUGUGACGAAGCGUGAGUGACGGUAAUGGGUAAAGAAGCACCGGCUAACUACGUGCCAGCAGCCGCGGUGAUACGUAGGGUGCGAGCGUUGUCCGGAUUUAUUGGGCGUAAAGGGCUCGUAGGUGGUUGAUCGCGUCGGAAGUGUAAUCUUGGGGCUUAACCCUGAGCGUGCUUUCGAUACGGGUUGACUUGAGGAAGGUAGGGGAGAAUGGAAUUCCUGGUGGAGCGGUGGAAUGCGCAGAUAUCAGGAGGAACACCAGUGGCGAAGGCGGUUCUCUGGGCCUUUCCUGACGCUGAGGAGCGAAAGCGUGGGGAGCGAACAGGCUUAGAUACCCUGGUAGUCCACGCUGUAAACGGUGGGUACUAGGUGUGGGGUCCAUUCCACGGGUUCCGCGCCGUAGCUAACGCUUUAAGUACCCCGCCUGGGGAGUACGGCCGCAAGGCUAAAACUCAAAGG
This 482-nucleotide ribosomal RNA is filed under the name uncultured bacterium. RNAcentral's name for it is "bacterial SSU rRNA". It matches the Rfam family "Bacterial small subunit ribosomal RNA", at positions 415 to 907 of the family's 1533-position model. The record is from RNAcentral.